Molecule: long non-coding RNA, 5306 nt
Filed under: Sus scrofa (pig)
Lineage: Eukaryota; Metazoa; Chordata; Mammalia; Artiodactyla; Suidae
Description: lncRNA (ENSSSCG00050011032.1)
Source: RNAcentral
GGAAUUAACUGCUCAAUAUAAUAAGUACUAUUGAAUUUCCCAUCUCCAUGCAGAUAAAGGGCAACUGCCACCCAAAACACAGUAAUAACAGUAACUGAGUGAUGGGGGUGGGGAAGAAGAACCCCAUUUUUUAUUACCACCUUAAAAUGUUAUAGGUUAAAAUAAUCUUAAAGGGUUUCAAAAACAGCAAUUAAAUCUUUCCAUGUCUGUUUUCCAAGACUGCAGCUGAGAAAACGAGGGCCUAAGAGCCAUCCGGUGCUAGCCUUGUUAAUAACGCUCUGUGAAAAAUCUCAUUAAUUCAGUCUGGCUCUUCAGAUCAGCCGCUAAAUCCUUGUAUUGUCACUCAUCCUCUGGCCUUUUCAGGAUUUCCAUAGCCUAACUAGCAGUAUCUCCAUGGAAACCAAGCAGUCCUGCUUUGCACAUCCCGGAACUUUUUGUUCCUGACAAAGCUUGACAAAUCACAUGCAGCAUGGAGAGUUUAACAUAGCGAACUAAACCCUGACCCACACUUAGAAUGAUAAACCCAAGCAUACUAGCUUUAUUAUAAAUGAUUUCCUUACAAGAUACUUAACCAAGCCAGUGAAAUGUUGAACCAGACAAGUUUCAAGAACAAGGUGCUGGGGGGAGAAGGAGGGAGGAAAAAAAAAAAAAAAAGCAAAUAAAUAAAUACACAGAUAAAUAGGAACCCCGGGCGUGUUCAGCUGUAGGUUUUGUCAUCUCGUGUUCUGCCUAAUUGACUUAAAUUGAAAGCAACCAGAGGAGAAAAAGAGAGUGAGGGAUGCUAUUUCUGGGUCGUUCCUGAGAAAUGGCCUUCCUUCCCCACUCUGAGCCAGAAAGGGAACUCCUAAAGCCAUGCCCUGGUUUCCCGUAACUCCUGCAGAGGAUGGGCUUGGGAAUCUAACAGGUCUCCAAGGCUGGAGACCGAUUUGGGCUGUUCCGUCCGUGGGAUGCCUGUGAGUGGAGGCUUGAUGCUCUGCAAAGUGGGAAGGCGUGGUCCCUCCUAGAAAGUGGGCGGCCUUGCUGGGAAGGGAGGCUGGGUCCUCUCACCAGGGCGACAGGAAGGCAGAUAGAGCACAGCGUUCUCCAGGGUCCUGUCUCCCUCUGAGGCGCCUGCGUCCCCAUUCCUUCCUUGAGUUUCCUUGGCAAGGCUCCCUUCCCAGCCCUCUCUCCUCCAGGGCAUCCAACCAGGUGAUGGGGCUGGGUGGCAGGUCCCCCCACAGGACCACUGUCCCCAGGGAAAGGAGAAGAAGGCAGGUGCGUUUGUGGGGCGGGGCAGCCAGAGCAGACAGGGACCCCUCGGACAGUCCAUACAUGUGUCCUUGACUUCAGCUUUCACUUCUUCACAGAGUGGGCGCCAAGGGUCUACCUGAAGGCAGCAUCCCGACUUCGCUUAGCCAGGCUGGACGGGGCGCGGGGCAGGAAGGAGGCUGUGCUUUCCGAGGAGGAGGGGCCCUUCAUGGCCUCCUCGUCUCACCGCAGCUUUACUGGCCACUCGUGCUUCCUGAGGGUAGAUGAACAAGGGCGUCCAAUGACUCUUGGUCACGGGUGACCCAGGAGGGCUAGGGCCACCAUCAUUGCUAAGCCCCUCGGUCUCCUGCCUCCCUUUCGUCCCCGGUGCAGGACAACAGGUGGGCAAUGGUGGGGUGUGUGAUGGAAAAGGUAGAACAGGGGUGCCGGAGGGCAGCCUAGGAAACACCCCGAGGCCUAGACUUGAUUCUGCCUCCUUGUUCUGGGCCUUGACGACACUUGGAAUCACUUUAGGGAUGUUUAAGGGUCUGAGCCAAGGUCUUCCUUCGCCGAUGCUUCUUGGGUUUGAGGCUGGCAGUGUUUCAGAGGCGUCAUGACACCUGCAGCCCUAGAAAUGCUUUGCCUUAGCAAACCAGGCUGACCUCUGGGUGGGCAUCUGCAUCUAAACCCUCUCCAUCUAAGCCAGGAACUCGCCAGCACAGUGCUCCUGGAUGUUUACAACAAGGACCAGUUCUGGACACAUGUCCACACUCGGCAAAUAUUUGCUGAUGAACUGAAUUGGUGCCUGUAAGAUCCCACUGUUCCCUCUGAUCUUCAGAGCAAGAGUAGAAGCCAUAUAAUAAUAAUAAUAAUUAGAGUAAGAGUAAUAAUAAUAACAGCUAGCUCUUCUGAAGUUCUUCCUCUGUAACGCCAGGCAUUCUUCUGCCUGUUUCCCUAGAAAAGUCCCUUUAAUCCUCACAACCAGCAUCUAGAGAAGAUGCCAUGAAUAUGCCCAUAUCACGAGCUUCAUUUUGCCCAUGAAAAUACUGAGACACAAAGAGCUUAACGUACUCAAGUUCACAGAGCCGGUUAGUGAUAGACCUGGACUUUGAACCCAGGCAGACACAUUUUCCUCUCUGCCGUCUUGCCAUGCUAGCAACGCUAAGUGCCCCAAACCGAAAGAAUCAGUUCGUUGUAAUAGCUGACACCUCCUGAAUGCUUGCUCUGUGCCAGGCACCGUUCUAACCGCAGAGGCGUCACCUCCUUCAUCUGUCACAUCACUCCUGCAGGUUCCACUAGAAGGUGGGCGCCACGGUCAGCAUCAUUUUACAGAUGAGGAAGCUGAGACGCAGAGAGGUUAAGCCAUCACUUCAAGUCAUGUAACUGCUAAAUGACAGAACCAGAUUCAGACCCAAGCAGCACGGUUCUAGAAACUCCUGUCAGACGGGACCCUCAUUCCUCAGAUCAUUCCUGGCAAGAUGGAGAGUUUAUAUUCCAUGCAAGCAUGAUUCUGGGCAAACAGUUUAUUCCUGAAGCCCCUCUCUAUUCCUGAACGCACCUGCUGGGUGACCCUGGUAUGAUUACAUUUUUCUUUCCAAGACUCCUUUUCUUUCUUUCUUUCUUUUUUUUUUUUUUUUUUUUUUGUCUUUCUCUCUUUUCUAGGGCCACACCCACGACAUGUGGAGGUUCCCAGGCUAGGAGUCGAAUCGGAGCUGUAGCCACUGGCCUACGCCAGAGCCACAGCAAUGCCAGAUUCGAGCCACGUCUGCAACCUACACCACAGCUCGUGGCAACACCAGAUCCUUAACUCACUGAGUGAGGCCAGGGAUUGAACCUGCAACCUCAUGGUUCCUAGUCGGAUUCGUUAACCACUGCGCCACGACGGGAACUCCCCAAGACUACUUUUCAAACUGCUAUUUUUUAGAGGUUCCCCCAAACAAGUUGAGGCCCCGGACUGAGCCUGCGAGAAGGGCCGCCCCAUCCCCUUGUCAUGACGGAUCCCCCUCCUGGGGACCCCAGGUCCAGAGGGGCGCCACCCACCUUCCGGCUUGCACUCAGGACUGUCAGGGAGCUUGGCGGAGUCUGGCUCUUGGCACAGACUCUGGGAGAUCAGACAGCGCUCACUGGAUGAAGGGACACUGCCAACGCUUAGGGACCUAAAAUUAGACCUACCAGCUGUGUUUUGGUUUUGCAAGCACGUGUGUGUCUGCUCCAUUCUUGAGCGUGCCGGGUGUUGAAAUAUAGAUGGAACCUGCUCUCUGAAGUACAGGGAAAGCACGCCAUUCGUGCACCUUGUCUUUAAUUUACUGUUUCUCUUCUGAGGCCCCGUCACUCCUUCACGGCCCCGGGAGUGACAUUCCCCUCCGUCCUCUUUCUCCUGUGGGCCGCUGCCUCCAAGGCCCACAUCCACAUUCACCCUUAAGAAACCCAGCCGGUCUCUGCGGAGGCGGAGCACAAAGCACAUGAUUCCUGCUCUCUGUCCAGGCUCUCUGCCCCCUGGGUCACAGCCUCUUCUGGAACAUACUACCUGCUGACCUUAGCAAAAGGGGCCACGGCUGGUCCAAGAGCGGGUUCUUGGCCUGGGAGGGAGUAGGGCUGGUGGGUGGCUGUGAGACAUGGGGUAGAGAGGCCCUGGGGUCCCUGUCCCAUGAGGAUGGCCCUGGGCAAGGGCAAGCCACCCACGAGGGAAGGUCGCAGGGGGUCCAGGAGAGCAGGCAAGGCAUCCUGAGCCCAUUCAGGCUGCUGUCCCAAAAAAAACACCAUAGACGGGGUCGCUUAUAAAUUUUAAAUUUAAUUUCAAUUUAAAAUUUAAUUCACUUAUAAAUUUUAAUUUAAUGUCAAUUUUAAAUUUAAUACAUUUACAUUUAAGUGGCCCUGUGGGGCUAGUGGCUGCCAUAGGGGACAACACCUUAGGAAGGGAAGCGGCUCGGCCAGCGUGCACACGAAGCACCAGAGGUGGGGACCCACGCCUGCGAUGACUUCGGGUUCCCCACUGCAGGCCCCUGUCUCCACGCAGGGCCGCCCCAACCCAUCCACACAGGGCUGGCUUUCCAGCCAAAGGGUGGAAAAAAAGCCUGGUGCCCUCAAGGGAAGUGUGUCUCUUUCCCCUCUAGAGCCUUUAAUCGUCCUGGCCGUAGGGAGGUUCCCGCAGAGCCUGGACCAAACUCGAGCUGCUGAGGUUAUCAGCGCAUCUCUCUUGGCGAGCCCCUCUCCCAGGCGGCCUCUCCUGCCUGCGGCCACGGGCCCGCGAGGAGGGCACCCUGUGCUCGUCCAUCAGCGUCGACCGCCCACCCCAUCCUCUCACCCGGACCACGGCCGCCUCCUCACUCGAUGCUCUGCUCGGCCCUGACCUCCCGCAGUCCCUCGUGCCCACGGCCGUCCUGGCCAUCUUUUUCGAAGGGGAAUUGGGACCUCUCGAUCCGAUGUGUUGAAUCACUCGGGGGCUACACUUAGCACCCCUCGGCUUCUGCUUACCUCUCCAUCACACCCCACUCGGCUCUCCCUGUCAUCCCUCCCGCCCCCCAGUGCCUCCCUGUUAGGUCACCCGGGCACUUAACCCGCUAUAAAUCCCUGGGGGAGGGGCCUUGUGUUCGCAGCGGACGACGCAGUCCUUAGGACACAGCAGGUACUUAAUAAAAAUGUACUGAGUGAUGAGGGAAUCCUGGAUUAGCACGUCGGGGCCAUGACAAGUGCAAGGAGUACCCAUGUUUCACCACCAGAAAGGUGAUCCUGGCGCACAUCCCUUCGAAGCACUUGGUGUGCUUGAAGACACUGUACAUUGAUCCUGAAGUUAAAAUGAAAUACGUGUAUCUUACGCGCUGAGCUAUAAACCAGGAAAGAGACCGUCUAUCUCAAGGCUGUGACUCCCUCUCCCCCAAAACAGCAUCUUGGGCUUCGACCUCGAAAAGUGCCACAGAAGCCCUUUCCCCGCCAUAGUCACCCAGGAACACAUGCCCUUUUGGGACUCAAGUCUUCAUAAAGAAAAUAGAGUUUAGAGUUUGGGCACCAAGAUCUCAGGGGAAUCUGAGAAAACCUUAGACACUUUUUUCUUUUGGAUAAAACAAUAAAGUUAGCACCAU